Non-coding RNA from Paramuricea clavata, 897 nucleotides. NCBI's taxonomy places the organism in Eukaryota, Metazoa, Cnidaria, Anthozoa, Malacalcyonacea, Plexauridae. The record is from the annotation of a GenBank genome assembly.
UUUUAAUUAAACUUGGUCAAAGAAUAAUUAUCAAAUUAAUAAUUGUAACUGUACAAUCAAGUUACAAUAUGUGAUAGAGUAUUAUUAUAACUGUAGCUCCAUGGGUGAUUCUUUGGCUGUCCCCUGUUUUGAUGCCUUGGGCCAUUUCUUGUAGUACAUAUAACAGGGUUUUUUUCAGGAUUUUCUCUUGGAUCCGUUUUUGCAGAGAAGUUUGAAGAGCAGAUUGAGUUUAGCUGAACAUCUGUGGUAGUUGCACCCCCCCCCCUACCGGGGGGCUGACACUUGUACUCAACAAAUGUAGUUGAGACGGAAUGUGUUAAAGCAGGGGCAUUGAGGGACACUAUAAACUGGUUAACGAUGGCGAAUGCAUAGUUUUUCUUGUGUUGUGAGAUGAAUUCCAGCCAUUUUUUUUUAAUUGUCGGGUUUCAAACUAAAAACUAAUUUCCACACGUCACAAAUUUAACUCAAACAACUUCAUUUUUACUGCACUGAAACUUUGGUGAGAAGAUUGAGUUUCAAAACUCAAUUCAAGAUUGAGUUCUUGGGGCCGUUUAACGGCCCUAAAAAAUCCCUGAAAAAAAGCCUGAUAUAAGACUCUGGAGAAAAGUCAUUGUUAGUUUUUCCAUUUACGGUAGGUCUGGCAAGUGCCACCACUACUAUAACACCACUAUUCUUGUUAUUUGAACAUUCCAAAGAACUUGUCCACAUGACUUACACCCGGAUCACCCUAAAUGAGAAAUGUCAAUUAUAUUUAUAAAAUAGUGACAGCUAGUAUCAUUAGAACACACUUUGAAGAAAUAGUGAGUCACAUAUACCAGGCUCCAAAGUCCAAUUACAGGGAAAUUUACUGUAGAGUAGACAUUAUUUAUAUGUUAACCCAUUCAGCAUGUACCACUG